This is a long non-coding RNA of Glycine soja, 1829 nucleotides long. RefSeq lists it as uncharacterized. The record is from RefSeq and is a predicted model, not a curated record. The transcript has 3 exons. NCBI's taxonomy places the organism in Eukaryota, Viridiplantae, Streptophyta, Magnoliopsida, Fabales, Fabaceae.
UAUGUUAUAGAGACAGGUUGAUUUCAUUGUGAGCAGCAUGCAUAAAGUACUUAUAUAUAUCGGAGAAUUUCAUAUGCUUCAAAUAUUGGCCAUGCGACAUUUUCUGUGAGGGUGAAUUUUAUUAUGCAAGCAUAAAGUAGCUGUACCCGCUGACCUGACCUCUUCAUGAUGGCAAUAUAAAGUCAUGCAAACUUCAAGAAACUACACAGAGAUAUCAACUUCCGCAUCCUAGUGUGCUUAUGUUUCCAUAUAUACAUGCAGAAAGAGUACUAAUGCAUAUGUUUAUGCCAUCAACCUUGCUCUUGAAGGAUGGACAACAACACAAUUAUUCUUUGAACCCUUGGUAUUUGAUGAAGCUGGUAACCAAUAAUAACAACAGUACUAGACACUAUUGAUUGUGGUGAUCAUGAACCCUCUUUGUGAUGUGAUCGUUAACGUGUUGGCUGAAAGUAGCACUCACGAGUGGCGAUUCCCACAGAACCCCAAGCUCAUCGUCAUAACCUUGCGAUGCAGAAGCAGUGGUGAUUGAACCCAGAUGAUGAUCAUCGACACGAUCAUCACAUGGCAGUGGAUUAAUGCUACGCUCACUGGGUGUGGGGAUCUCUGUUUGCACGUGGUGCUGCUGCUGCUGCGCCUCAAAAGCAUCAUCGUUGAUCAAAGAGUUGAGGAAGGAAGAAAAGACAUCGUCGGAGUAAUAAUUGAUGUUGAUACCAUCGUUGUUGCAAUCCUCGUUGUUGUUGUCCAUGAAACCCAUUGCAGAAACAUCAUCGGUGGCAGCAGCUGGUACUGGGUUAUGGUUAUCACAGGGAUUAGAAAGUGGAGGAGGUUGGUGAUGUUGACCUAGAUGAUUAAGAUGAACUCCUUGGUUAAACAUGUUGGUGAGAUCGUGAUGAAAAGGGUUAAUGUUGUUGUUGGUGAUGAUCACUGGAGGAGGUUUAGAAGGUGGAAUAGUAGAAGUUGUUGAAGAAGAAGGAACGGCAAUAGAUGGUGGGUUAAGAGGCUUGUGGGUUCUUGGAUCAAUCCCUUGGUUAAUAAGCUUCUUACUUAGAUGGGUAUUCCAAUAGUUCUUUAUUUCAUUGUCUGUUCUUCCAGGAAUCCUCCCAGCUAUCAAAGACCACCUGCCACAUCCAAUGUGGAGACAACAAAUUAAUAAACCCUAGUUAGAAAAAAAAGUGUAAGAACCCUAAUUUUUGUGGGAAUAAUUGAUCAGUUAAACCUAAACCCUUAAACGGAAGAUGGUAUGUGUACCGAUUGCCCAGGAGGCGGUGUAGGCGGAGGAUGAGAUCUUCCUCGUCGGGGGCGAUGUGGCCGCGCUUGACGGAGGGGCGGAGGUAGUUCAUCCAGCGGAGGCGGCAGCUCUUGCCGCAGCGGAGAAGGCCGGCGCGCUUCGGGAGCGUUCUCCACCGUCCUUCUCCUUCUUUAUUGAUGUAAUUCGCUAACACCUCGUCCUCCUCUGGCGUCCAUGGCCCUCGCUUCAACCCAACAUUGUUGCAGCAUGGAGAGUAGUUGGUACCAAUGUUGUUGUUGUUGUUGGUACUUUUGUUACUAUUGUUCUUCACCUUGGUCUUGGUUGUUGCUAAUGUUGGUAGUGAUGGGUUUCUCAUUUUCUUCUUCUUCUUCUGAAUUUAGGGGAAUUAAUGGAAGUAGAAGAAUGAAGAAUAUAUGGUGAGUAAGUUUUGGGUUUGGGAAGGAAAUGAUAAUGGAAAUUGGAAGGAGGUGCCAAUAUAAUUGUCUCUUUAUGGUAUCUUCUUUGCUUUUUCUGCUUUCAAAUACCAAUGAACACGCGCUGAGGCGCGGCACUGAGAUCCACGUGUGGAUGGAUAUUUCUA